RNAcentral lists this ribosomal RNA (243 nucleotides) under uncultured bacterium. Its description in RNAcentral is "partial 16S ribosomal RNA". It matches the Rfam family "Bacterial small subunit ribosomal RNA", at positions 14 to 248 of the family's 1533-position model. The record is from RNAcentral.
UGAUUAUGGCUCAGGAUGAACGCUAGCUACAGGCUUAACACAUGCAAGUCGAGGGGGCGAGCAUGAACUUAGCUUGCUAAGUUUGAUGGCGACCGGCGCACGGGUGAGUAACACGUAUCCAACCUGCCGAUGACUCGGGGAUAGCCUUUCGAAAGAAAGAUUAAUACCCGAUGGCAUAGUUCUUCGCAUGGUAGAACUAUUAAAGAAUUUCGGUCAUCGAUGGGGAUGCGUUCCAUUAGGUUG